UGAAUACGAGAUGCUACGGCAUCGAAGCAGUCUAUGUCAUACUUCCAAGAAAAGCUUGCACUGUCAUAAACAAAUAAUGCCUGUACCAUAACCGACACAGGUGGGUAGGUAGAGUAUACUAAGGGGCGCGAGAUAACUCUCUCUAAGGAACUCGGCAAAAUGACUCAGUAACUUCGGGAGAAGGAGUGCCUUAUUUUAUAAGGUUGCAAUAACAAGAUCCAAGCAACUGUUUACCAAAAACACAGGUCUCCGCUAAGUCGUAAGACGAUGUAUGGGGGCUGACGCCUGCCCAGUGCCAGAAGGUUAAAGAAGUUGGUUAGCAUUAGCGAAGCUGAUAACUGAAGCCCUGGUGAACGGCGGCCGUAACAAUAACGGUCCUAAGGUAGCGAAAUUCCUUGUCGGGUAAGUUCCGACCCGCACGAAAGGCGUAAUGAUUUGGAUACUGUCUCGGAGAGGGGCUCGGUGAAAUAGACUUGUCUGUGAAGAUGCGGACUACCUGCACCAGGACAGAAAGACCCUAUGAAGCUUUACUGUAACUUGAGAUUGAAAUUGGACUUUAUUUGCGCAGUAUAGGUGGGAGACGUUGAAAAUAUUCUUGCGGGAAUAUUGGAGUCAUCAGUGAGAUACCACUCUUAUAAUGUUAGAUUUCUAACUUUGUAUCAUUAUCUGGUCAAAGAACAGUCUCAGGCGGGCAGUUUGACUGGGGCGGUCGCCUCCCAAACGGUAACGGAGGCGCACAAAGGUUUCCUCUGAACGUGUAGAAAUCGUAUCUAGAGUGUAAAGGCAUAAGGAAGCUUGACUGUGAGACCUACAAGUCGAGCAGGGACGAAAGUCGGUCUUAGUGAUCUGACGGUGCUGAGUGGAAAGGCCGUCACUCAACGGAUAAAAGUUACUCUAGGAUAACAGGCUGAUCUCCCCCAAGAGUUCACAUCGACGGGGAGGUUUGGCACCUCGAUGUCGGCUCAUCGCAUCCUGGGGCGGUAGUACGUCCCAAGGGUUGGGCUGUUCGCCCAUGAAAGCGGUACGCGAGCUGGGUUCAGAACGUCGUGAGACAGUUCGGUCCAUAUCCGGUGUAGGCGUUAGAAUAUUGAGAGGAGCCUUCUUUAGUACGAGAGGACCGAGAAGGACAUACCUCUGGUGUACCAGUUAUCGUGCCAACGGUAAACGCUGGGUAGCUAUGUAUGGAGAGGAUAACCGCUGAAAGCAUCUAAGUGGGAAGCCCACCUCAAGAUAAG
RNAcentral lists this ribosomal RNA (1235 nucleotides) under metagenome. Its description in RNAcentral is "bacterial LSU rRNA". It matches the Rfam family "Bacterial large subunit ribosomal RNA", at positions 1564 to 2808 of the family's 2925-position model. The record is from RNAcentral.